RNAcentral lists this non-coding RNA (117 nucleotides) under unclassified sequences. RNAcentral describes it as "SAM-I-IV sequence". It matches the Rfam family "SAM-I/IV (S-adenosyl methionine) riboswitch aptamer". Rfam says of the family: It is found upstream of a number of genes which code for proteins involved in methionine or cysteine biosynthesis. The record is from Rfam by way of RNAcentral.
UUAUCUCAUCAUGAGCGGUUUCUCUCACAAACCCGCCAACCGAGCCUAAAAGCCACGGUGGUCAGUUCCGCUAAAAGGAAUGAUGUGCCUUUUAUUAGGAAAAAGUGGAACCGCCUG